This is a long non-coding RNA of Anastrepha ludens (Mexican fruit fly), 604 nucleotides long. RefSeq lists it as uncharacterized. NCBI's taxonomy places the organism in Eukaryota, Metazoa, Arthropoda, Insecta, Diptera, Tephritidae. The record is from RefSeq and is a predicted model, not a curated record. The transcript has 3 exons.
UACCAAUGUCACCUUGAUGCGUAUACAUAUGUACAUACAUUCCACUAUUAGAAGCCUAGAAGUUUUUCAGCCAUACAUACUUUGCAUACUUUCUCUAACUGUUCUCUCCUGAAUACAAUUGCAGAGCAUAUAGAAAAAUAAGAGCAGAAAUGCAAUUAUUGAGUACAACACCUGAUCACUUAGCUCAGCUUAUAUUUCAAAUGAUACCAGCAACUUGAUUAAAUUUCAUAACAGAAUUGCUUACCGCCUGUCUUUCCAAGCAUGACCGGUAUAUACAUACAUACUACAUAUAAUAGGGGUAUUCAUUUAAGCGUCGAAAUUUAUGAACCGCUGAUAUUAAAACUUUUACCUGCCCUAUUACUUGAACGCACCGCGAAAAUUGUUUGUCUAAUUCCAUCAGAUAGGGAAGCUUUCUGCCUUCGCUUAACUCUACGUCUAACUUAAAAACAAAAAAAAAAAAAAAGUGCUACUACCUAUCGCUCGGAUGAGAUGUUUUGUGUUAAAUUGGAAUAAUUAAUAAAGCUAAAAAUAAAGUAACAGAAGAAUUUCAUUUAAGUAAAAGAAGAAUAUUAAGACACUUGUUGCAACGAGAUUCCAAUUUAUG